UACGAAGGGGGCUAGCGUUGCUCGGAAUCACUGGGCGUAAAGGGUGCGUAGGCGGGUCUUUAAGUCAGGGGUGAAAUCCUGGAGCUCAACUCCAGAACUGCCUUUGAUACUGAAGAUCUUGAGUUCGGGAGAGGUGAGUGGAACUGCGAGUGUAGAGGUGAAAUUCGUAGAUAUUCGCAAGAACACCAGUGGCGAAGGCGGCUCACUGGACCGAUACUGACGCUGAGGCACGAAAGCGUGGGGAGAAAACAGG
Molecule: ribosomal RNA, 253 nt
Filed under: uncultured bacterium
Lineage: Bacteria
Description: partial 16S ribosomal RNA
Rfam family: Bacterial small subunit ribosomal RNA
Source: RNAcentral